GGAGGGAUCAUUAGCGAGUUGUAAAACUCCCAAACCAUUGCGAACGUACCUGCCGUUGCCUCGCCGCCAGCGUCCCCGCCAGGGAGCGUCGGCGGCGGCGGCUGACCAAACUCUUGUAUUUACAGGCCUCUCUGAGUACACUUAUAACAAGUUAAAACUUUCAACAACGGAUCUCUUGGUUCUGGCAUCGAUGAAGAACGCAGCGAAAUGCGAUAAGUAAUGUGAAUUGCAGAAUUCAGUGAAUCAUCGAAUCUUUGAACGCACAUUGCGCCCGCCAGUAUUCUGGCGGGCAUGCCUGUCCGAGCGUCAUUUCAACCAUCAAGCCUCUGGGCUUGCGUUGGGGCCCUGCGGCUGCCCGCAGGCCCCGAAAGACAGUGGCGGGCUCGCUGGCACUCCGAGCGCAGUAGCAUCUCUCUCGCUCCGGUCGUGCCGCGGGUUCCAGCCGUGAAACAACCCCCUCCACAAGGUUGACCUCGGAUCAGGUAGGAAUACCCGCUGAACUUAAGCAUAUCAAUAAGCGGAGGAAAAGAAACCAACAGGGAUUGCCUCAGUAACGGCGAGUGAAGCGGCAACAGCUCAAAUUUGAAAUCUGGCCUAGGCCCGAGUUGUAAUUUGUAGAGGGCGCUUCUGGCGCGGCACCGACUGAGUCCCCUGGAACGGGGCGCCAAAGAGGGUGAGAGCCCCGUAGAGUCGGCUGCCUAGCCUGUGCGAAGCCCCUUCGACGAGUCGAGUAGUUUGGGAAUGCUGCUCAAAAUGGGAGGUAAAUUUCUUCUAAAGCUAAAUACCGGCCAGAGACCGAUAGCGCACAAGUAGAGUGAUCGAAAGAUGAAAAGCACUUUGAAAAGAGGGUUAAAUAGCACGUGAAAUUGUUGAAAGGGAAGCGCUUGUGGCCAGACUUGCGCCGCGCUGAUCAUCCGGUGUUCUCACCGGUGCACUCGGCGCGGCUCAGGCCAGCAUCGGUUUUCGCGGGGGGAUAAAGGCGCUGGGAACGUAGCUCCUUCGGGAGUGUUAUAGCCCAGUGUGCCAUGCUCCCGCGGGGACCGAGGUCCGCGCGUACGCAAGGAUGCUGGCGUAAUGGCCAUCAGCGACCCGUCUUGAAACACGGACCAAGGAGUCAAGGUUUUGCGCGAGUGUUUGGGUGUCAAACCCGCACGCGUAAUGAAAGUGAACGUAGGUGAGAGCUUCGGCGCAUCAUCGACCGAUCCUGAUGUAUUCGGAUGGAUUUGAGUAGGAGCGUUAAGCCUUGGACCCGAAAGAUGGUGAACUAUGCUUGGAUAGGGUGAAGCCAGAGGAAACUCUGGUGGAGGCUCGCAGCGGUUCUGACGUGCAAAUCGAUCGUCAAAUCUGAGCAUGGGGGCGAAAGACUAAUCGAACCAUCUAGUAGCUGGUUACCGC
This 1395-nucleotide unclassified non-coding RNA is filed under the name uncultured Sordariales. RNAcentral describes it as "sequence contains 18S rRNA gene, ITS1, 5.8S rRNA gene, ITS2, 28S rRNA gene". The stretch from base 469 to 1395 matches the Rfam family "Eukaryotic large subunit ribosomal RNA", at positions 1 to 961 of the family's 3401-position model. Lineage: Eukaryota; Fungi; Ascomycota; Sordariomycetes; Sordariales. The record is from RNAcentral.